ACUCGUACGGGAGGCAGCAGUGGGGUAAUAUUGCACAAUGGGCGCAAGCCUGAUGCAGCCAUGCCGCGUGUAUGAAGAANGACGUCGUCGUUAGUAGUCUGCAGCNNGAUGAGAAGUAGUAGUAGUUAAGUAGCUGNCAUUUAUUUGACGUUAGCUGCAGAAGAAGCACCGGCUACUCAGUGCANGCAGCCGCGUAGUCGAGCGGAGGGCUGCGCAGCGUUCAAGAUACGGGAAUUGAACUGGGCGUAAAGUCAGCAUGCAGGUGGUUUAGUUCAAGGUCAGAUGUGAAAGCCGGGCUUCAAACCUGCGGAAUAGCAUUUGAAACUGGCAGGACUAGAGUAC
Molecule: ribosomal RNA, 342 nt
Filed under: uncultured bacterium
Lineage: Bacteria
Description: bacterial SSU rRNA
Rfam family: Bacterial small subunit ribosomal RNA
Source: RNAcentral